UGGGAUGGAGCUGGAUCUUUCUCUUUCUCCUGUCAGGAACUGCAGGUAAGGGGCUCACCAGUUCCAAAUCUGAAGAAACGAAAUGGCUUGGGAUGUCACUGACAUCCACUCUGUCUUUCUCUUCACAGGUGUCCUCUCUGAGGUCCAGCUGCAACAGUCUGGACCUGAGCUGGUGAAGCCUGGGGCUUCAGUGAAGAUAUCCUGCAUGGCUUCUGGUUAUUCAUUCAGUGACUACUACAUGCACUGAGUGAAGCAGAGCCAUGGAAAGAGCCUUGAGUGGAUUGGAUAUAUUAACCCUAACAAUGGUUGUACUAGCUACAACCAGAAGUUCAAGGGCAAGGCCACAUUGACUGUAGACACAUCCUCCAGCACAGCGUACAUGGAGCUCCACAGCCUGACAUCUGAGGACUCUUCGGUCUAUUACUGUGCAAGACACAGUGUUGUAACCACAGCCUGAG
Molecule: non-coding RNA, 458 nt
Organism: Mus musculus (house mouse)
Lineage: Eukaryota; Metazoa; Chordata; Mammalia; Rodentia; Muridae
Source: the annotation of a RefSeq genome assembly